This 260-nucleotide ribosomal RNA is filed under the name uncultured bacterium. RNAcentral describes it as "partial 16S ribosomal RNA". It matches the Rfam family "Bacterial small subunit ribosomal RNA", at positions 793 to 1055 of the family's 1533-position model. The record is from RNAcentral.
GUCCACGCCCUAAACGAUGUCUACUAGUUGUCGGGUCUUAAUUGACUUGGUAACGCAGCUAACGCGUGAAGUAGACCGCCUGGGGAGUACGGUCGCAAGAUUAAACUCAAAGGAAUUGACGGGACCCGCACAAGCGGUGGAUGAUGUGGAUUAAUUCGAUGCAACGCGAAACCUUACCUACCCUUGACAUGGCUGGAAUCCUGAAGAGAUUUAGGAGUGCUCGAAAGAGAACCAGUACACAGGUGCUGCAUGGCUGUCGU